This 327-nucleotide ribosomal RNA is filed under the name uncultured eukaryote. RNAcentral describes it as "partial 18S ribosomal RNA". It matches the Rfam family "Eukaryotic small subunit ribosomal RNA", at positions 1470 to 1796 of the family's 1831-position model. The record is from RNAcentral.
CCCUUAGAUGUUCUGGGCCGCACCAGCGCUACACUGAAGGAGGCAGCGUGUACUCCUGGAUCGAAAGAUUUGGGUAACCCGCGAAUCUCCUUCGUGCUAGGGAUUGAGGUUUGCAAUUAUCCUUCAUGAACGAGGAAUUCCCAGUAAGUGCAAGUCAUAAGCUUGCGCUGACUACGUCCCUGCCCUUUGUACACACCGCCCGUCGCUACUACCGAUUGAAUGAUUUAGUGAGGACUUCGGACUGGGACCGAUGCGGCUUUCGGGCUGCGUCGGUAUUCUGGAAAGAUGUCCAAACUGUAUCAUUUAGAGGAAGUAAAAGUCGUAACA